AUGAACGCUGGCGGCGUGCCUAAUACAUGCCAGUCGAGCGAACAGACGAGGAGCUUGCUCCUUUGACGUUAGCGGCGGACGGGUGAGUAACACGUAGGUAACCUACCUAUAAGACUGGGAUAACUUCGGGAAACCGGAGCUAAUACCGGAUAAUAUUUCGAACCGCAUGGUUCGAUAGUGAAAGAUGGCUUUGCUAUCACUUAUAGAUGGACCUGCGCCGUAUUAGCUAGUUGGUAAGGUAACGGCUUACCAAGGCAACGAUACGUAGCCGACCUGAGAGGGUGAUCGGCCACACUGGAACUGAGACACGGUCCAGACUCCUACGGGAGGCAGCAGUAGGGAAUCUUCCGCAAUGGGCGAAAGCCUGACGGAGCAACGCCGCGUGAGUGAUGAAGGUCUUCGGAUCGUAAAGCUCUGUUAUUAGGGAAGAACAAACGUGUAAGUAACUGUGCACGUCUUGACGGUACCUAAUCAGAAAGCCACGGCUAACUACGUG
This 496-nucleotide ribosomal RNA is filed under the name uncultured bacterium. Its description in RNAcentral is "partial 16S ribosomal RNA". It matches the Rfam family "Bacterial small subunit ribosomal RNA", at positions 29 to 507 of the family's 1533-position model. The record is from RNAcentral.